CCUACGGGAGGCAGCAGUGGGGAAUUUUGGACAAUGGGGGCAACCCUGAUCCAGCAAUGCCGCGUGAGUGAAGAAGGCCUUCGGGUUGUAAAGCUCUUUUGUCAGGGAAGAAACAGCAGCUCUAACACAGUUUGCGAAUGACGGUACCUGAAGAAUAAGCACCGGCUAACUACGUGCCAGCAGCCGCGGUAAUACGUAGGGUGCAAGCGUUAAUCGGAAUUACUGGGCGUAAAGCGUGCGCAGGCGGUUAUGUAAGACAGGCGUGAAAUCCCCGGGCUUAACCUGGGAAUUGCGCUUGUGACUGCAUAGCUAGAGUAUGUCAGAGGGGGGUAGAAUUCCACGUGUAGCAGUGAAAUGCGUAGAGAUGUGGAGGAAUACCAAUGGCGAAGGCAGCCCCCUGGGAUAAUACUGACGCUCAUGCACGAAAGCGUGGGGAGCAAACAGGAUUAGAUACCCUGGUAGUCCACGCCCUAAACGAUGCUGACUAGUUGUUCGGGAAUUUAUUCCUGAGUAACGUAGCUAACGCGUGAAGUCAGCCGCCUGGGGAGUACGGUCGCAAGAUUAAAACUCAAAGGAAUUGACGGGGACCCGCACAAGCGGUGGAUGAUGUGGAUUAAUUCGAUGCAACGCGAAAAACCUUACCUACCCUUGACAUGCCACUAACGAAGUAGAGAUACAUUAGGUGCCCGUAAGGGAAAGUGGACACAGGUGCUGCAUGGCUGUCGUCAGCUCGUGUCGUGAGAUGUUGGGUUAAGUCCCGCAACGAGCGCAACCCUUGUCUCUAGUUGCUACGCAAGAGCACUCUAGAGAGACUGCCGGUGACAAACCGGAGGAAGGUGGGGAUGACGUCAAGUCCUCAUGGCCCUUAUGGGUAGGGCUUCACACGUCAUACAAUGGUGCAUACAGAGGGUUGCCAACCCGCGAGGGGGAGCUAAUCUCAGAAAAUGCAUCGUAGUCCGGAUCGUAGUCUGCAACUCGACUACGUGAAGCUGGAAUCGCUAGUAAUCGCGGAUCAGAAUGUCGCGGUGAAUACGUUCCCGGGUCUUGUACACACCGCCCGUCACACCAUGGGAGUGGGUUUUGCCAGAAGCCGUUAGCCUAACCGCAAGGAGGGCGACGACCACGGCAGGGUUCAUGACUGGGGUGAAGUCGUAACAAGGUAAAGGGCG
This 1169-nucleotide ribosomal RNA is filed under the name uncultured bacterium. RNAcentral's name for it is "bacterial SSU rRNA". It matches the Rfam family "Bacterial small subunit ribosomal RNA", at positions 338 to 1505 of the family's 1533-position model. The record is from RNAcentral.